RNAcentral lists this ribosomal RNA (492 nucleotides) under uncultured bacterium. Its description in RNAcentral is "partial 16S ribosomal RNA". It matches the Rfam family "Bacterial small subunit ribosomal RNA", at positions 29 to 507 of the family's 1533-position model. The record is from RNAcentral.
AGUGAACGCUGGCGGUAGGCCUAACACAUGCAAGUCGAACGGCAGCACAGUAAGAGCUUGCUCUUACGGGUGGCGAGUGGCGGACGGGUGAGGAAUACAUCGGAAUCUACUUUUUCGUGGGGGCUAACGUAGGGAAACUUACGCUAAUACCGCAUACGACCUACGGGUGAAAGCAGGGGAUCUUCGGACCUUGCGCGAUUGAAUGAGCCGAUGUCGGAUUAGCUAGUUGGCGGGGUAAAGGCCCAGCAAGGCGACGAUCCGUAGCUGGUCUGAGAGGAUGAUCAGCCACACUGGAACUGAGACACGGUCCAGACUCCUACAGUAGGCAGCAGUGCGGAAUAUUGGACAAUGGACGCAAGCCUGAUCCAGCCAUACCGCGUGGGUGAAGAAGGCCUUCGGGUUGUAAAGCCCUUUUGUUGGGAAAGAAAAGCAGCAGGUUAAUACCCCGCGGUUCUGACGGUACCCAAAGAAUAAGCACCGGCUAACUUCGUG